CCUACGGGGGGCAGCAGUCGGGAAAAUUUUGCAAUGCGCGAAAGCGUGACAGAGCAAGCCAGAGUGCAAUUCCGUAUGGAAUUGCUUUUGUGAAAUGUAAACAGUCUCACGAAUAAGGACUGGGAGAGACUGGUGCCAGCCGCCGCGGUAAUCCCAGCAGUCCAAGUCGCAGCCACAUUUGUUGGGUCUAAAACAUCCGUAGCUUGCCUUGCAAGUCUCAUGUGAAAUCGGGGCUCUUAAGGUUCCGGCGUGCAUGAGAUACUGCUUGGCUCGAGACCGGGAGAUGCAUUGAGUACAGUCAGAGUAGCGGUAAAAUGUGUUGAUCCUGACUGGACUAACAACAGCGAAGGCACGAUGCAAGAACGGAUCUGACAGUGAGGGAUGAAGGCUAGGGGCGCAAAGUGGAUUAGAUACCCGGGUAGUC
This 424-nucleotide ribosomal RNA is filed under the name uncultured bacterium. RNAcentral describes it as "bacterial SSU rRNA". It matches the Rfam family "Archaeal small subunit ribosomal RNA", at positions 322 to 746 of the family's 1478-position model. The record is from RNAcentral.